AGUGAACGCUGGCGGUAGGCCUAACACAUGCAAGUCGAACGGCAGCACAGUAAGAGCUUGCUCUUACGGGUGGCGAGUGGCGGACGGGUGAGGAAUACAUCGGAAUCUACUUUUUCGUGGGGGAUAACGUAGGGAAACUUACGCUAAUACCGCAUACGACCUACGGGUGAAAGCAGGGGAUCUUCGGACCUUGCGCGAUUGAAUGAGCCGAUGUCGGAUUAGCUAGUUGGCGGGGUAAAGGCCCACCAAGGCGACGAUCCGUAGCUGGUCUGAGAGGAUGAUCAGCCACACUGGAACUGAGACACGGUCCAGAAUCCUACGGGAGACAGCAGUGGGGAAUAUUGGACAAUGGGCGCAAGCCUGAUCCAGCCAUACCGCGUGGGUGAAGAAGGCCUUCGGGUUGUAAAGCCCUUUUGUUGGGAAAGAAAAGCAGCAGGUUAAUACCCCGCUGUUCUGACGGUACCCAAAGAAUAAGCACCGGCUAACUUCGU
RNAcentral lists this ribosomal RNA (491 nucleotides) under uncultured bacterium. RNAcentral describes it as "partial 16S ribosomal RNA". It matches the Rfam family "Bacterial small subunit ribosomal RNA", at positions 29 to 506 of the family's 1533-position model. The record is from RNAcentral.